CCGGAACACUAGCCCACCCUGUUGCCACCCGUUUCGUGAACGCCUCAAUAUACGUCGCUUGCGAAAUACCUUGUCAACGUAUCACCACGACUGGAGAUGGAGAUAGAAUAAUUAAUAUAUCAGAGAGCGGUAGCGUUACAUGCCACCCUGGUUAUGAAUACCUUAAUGCACAACCCGUGUGUAAUAGUGGAAGUACACAAAUUCCUCCCUGCACACCGGUGAAAUGUAAUGUACAAACAAUUGCUAAUGGUAUGACCGACAGGAAGGUAAUUCAAUUCCAGGAAACUGUCACCUAUUCUUGCCUUCACAAUCUAGCUGUGGUGGGUGUAGCCACGCAAAGUUGCAUGGCUGACAGAAAUCUGUCUUCCGUGCCG
Sycon ciliatum is the source of this 374-nucleotide long non-coding RNA. RefSeq lists it as uncharacterized. Lineage: Eukaryota; Metazoa; Porifera; Calcarea; Leucosolenida; Sycettidae. The transcript is spliced from 3 exons. The record is from RefSeq and is a predicted model, not a curated record.